AAAGCUAACGACUCCCUUAUAUGCACUUUUAUUUUGUAAAUAAACUUAAAACGGGAUUUA
Molecule: transfer RNA, 60 nt
Filed under: Romanomermis iyengari
Lineage: Eukaryota; Metazoa; Nematoda; Enoplea; Mermithida; Mermithidae
Description: tRNA-Thr
Source: RNAcentral